This is a long non-coding RNA of Dermacentor albipictus, 881 nucleotides long. RefSeq lists it as uncharacterized. Lineage: Eukaryota; Metazoa; Arthropoda; Arachnida; Ixodida; Ixodidae. The record is from RefSeq and is a predicted model, not a curated record.
GCACUUUCGUUCUAAUCGUUUCGGCUGCCACCCUAUUCAUCUGCUCUUGCCGCUUUCUAUGCACGUGCACAUUUUUUCGCGUGCUCUGCAGUUGAAAAUUAUCCUUAUAUGCCUGCGAAUAUUCUGUCAAUGUCGGAAUUACCGAGGAAAGGAUACAAGGCUUGCUGUGCGGCUACGUGGUGCGGCAACUCGGGGAGCAACACCAGGGCAAAAUUUUUCCGUUACCCAUGAGACCAAAGGAAGGCCACAGGUGGGAAGGGACUACUCGGACCUUGCUGUGGUCGGCUGUGCCGACUGUGGGAGUGGAAGAGCGCUCCCUGAUCGAUGAUGUUGCAGAUGACACUCAAGCAUGGACAAGGCGCUGCGCCUUCCCUGUGUGCCUGUGUUCUACACCACCACAGCGAGGCCAUAAGUGGAAAAUAUACUCACCAGAGACCACAUGCGCUACCAACUGGCUGAGCGAUAAUACAUAAAGGAAUCGCAAGUCAGCGAAGUUACCAAGAGGAAAGUGCUAGAGAAGUUGAUGUAUCAUGUAAGCCCAGAGCUCUACCAACUAUUUCAGUGCCGCAAGAAUAAGAGAAGGACAAUGAGAAAUUCUUUCCGGAGCACGCUGGAGUGGUCGCGCCGUUGUGCGGUGUGUCGACUGUACUGAAAGAUGAGUUAAACCGCCGUGUACUACGAGAAAUCAUUUGCUGUAAUAAAUGUCGCAUAGACCUGCUGCAGUAGUUCUGCUAUUCGUGGCUUAUGCUGCACAUAAAUGACACCAAUCUGGAUGUCAAAAAACAGCGUGAGAGAAAACUUGCUAGAGAAGGAAAGCUCCAAAAGCUUGAAAAUUAAGACAAAUUUUGUUGCUGAUAUUUUAUUUUUGUAAUUCCGGUAGC